Molecule: ribosomal RNA, 372 nt
Filed under: uncultured organism
Description: bacterial SSU rRNA
Rfam family: Bacterial small subunit ribosomal RNA
Source: RNAcentral
CGUAGGGUGCAAGCGUUAAUCGGAAUUACUGGGCGUAAAGCGUGCGCAGGCGGUUUCGUAAGUCUGUCGUGAAAUCCCCGGGCUCAACCUGGGAAUGGCGAUGGAGACUGCGAGGCUAGAGUUUGGCAGAGGGGGGUAGAAUUCCACGUGUAGCAGUGAAAUGCGUAGAGAUGUGGAGGAACACCGAUGGCGAAGGCAGCCCCCUGGGUCAAAACUGACGCUCAUGCACGAAAGCGUGGGGGAGCAAACAGGAUUAGAUACCCUGGUAGUCCACGCCCUAAAACGAUGUCUACUAGUUGUUGGGUCUUAAUUGACUUAGUAACGCAGCUAACGCGUGAAGUAGACCGCCUGGGGAGUACGGUCGCAAGAUUA